CAGCAGAGGGACAAGCAUGACAGUGUAUGUUCUGGAAGACUAUCAUAACCUGCAAUUCUGAAAACCUGAUGUGAGCACACUAAAGGUUGGGUAAUAAGUCACAGCAAGGGCAUCUAAUCAUCUCUAGAACGUGACAACAUUUGGUUCAGAUUCCCUUAUCAGCAUCACCUUUCCUUCUGCCUCUGCCCCAUCCUUAAAGAAGACCAGGCAGUGGGCCUUGGACAUCAGUCACACGUCGACCACUUCUUUAAACACUUCACGUGGGAAACCAUUCAGAGGCAUGAUUGCUGAGCUACAGACCUGGAAAAUAACUGUCAUCAAGACCUUUACAUCUGUCAGAGGAAUUUCAGCCCAGUGACACUGCUUUGCCCUUAUUUUUUUUUUUAUUUAUUUUAGUAAGCUCUUGGAUUUUUAUGACUUAAAACUGCUACUGCAGUGCAUUACUCUGGCAGGAGCUCUAUUUCACACAAAUUUUUACACGAUCCUUAGCCAAGAA
This 496-nucleotide long non-coding RNA is filed under the name Gallus gallus (chicken). Lineage: Eukaryota; Metazoa; Chordata; Aves; Galliformes; Phasianidae. The record is from RNAcentral.